This 496-nucleotide ribosomal RNA is filed under the name uncultured bacterium. RNAcentral describes it as "partial 16S ribosomal RNA". It matches the Rfam family "Bacterial small subunit ribosomal RNA", at positions 29 to 507 of the family's 1533-position model. The record is from RNAcentral.
AUGAACGCUGGCGGCGUGCCUAAUACAUGCAAGUCGAGCGAACGGACGAGAAGCUUGCUUCCCUGAUGUUAGCGGCGGACGGGUGAGUAACACGUGGAUAACCUACCUAUAAGACUGGGAUAACUUCGGGAAACCGGAGCUAAUACCGGAUAAUAUUUUGAACCGCAUGGUUCAAAAGUGAAAGACGGUCUUGCUGUCACUUAUAGAUGGAUCCGCGCUGCAUUAGCUAGUUGGUAAGGUAACGGCUUACCAAGGCAACGAUGCAUAGCCGACCUGAGAGGGUGAUCGGCCACACUGGAACUGAGACACGGUCCAGACUCCUACGGGAGGCAGCAGUAGGGAAUCUUCCGCAAUGGGCGAAAGCCUGACGGAGCAACGCCGCGUGAGUGAUGAAGGUCUUCGGAUCGUAAAACUCUGUUAUUAGGGAAGAACAUAUGUGUAAGUAACUGUGCACAUCUUGACGGUACCUAAUCAGAAAGCCACGGCUAACUACGUG